This 664-nucleotide ribosomal RNA is filed under the name uncultured bacterium. Its description in RNAcentral is "bacterial SSU rRNA". It matches the Rfam family "Bacterial small subunit ribosomal RNA", at positions 143 to 803 of the family's 1533-position model. The record is from RNAcentral.
CCAGCCUUCUGAAAGGAAGAUUAAUCCAGGAUGGCAUCAUGAGUUCACAUGUCCGCAUGAUUAAAGGUAUUUUCCGGUAGACGAUGGGGAUGCGUUCCAUUAGAUAGUAGGCGGGGUAACGGCCCACCUAGUCAACGAUGGAUAGGGGUUCUGAGAGGAAGGCCCCCCACAUUGGAACUGAGACACGGUCCAAACUCCUACGGGAGGCAGCAGUGAGGAAUAUUGGUCAAUGGGCGAUGGCCUGAACCAGCCAAGUAGCGUGAAGGAUGACUGCCCUAUGGGUUGUAAACUUCUUUUAUAAAGGAAUAAAGUCGGGUAUGCAUACCCGUUUGCAUGUACUUUAUGAAUAAGGAUCGGCUAACUCCGUGCCAGCAGCCGCGGUAAUACGGAGGAUCCGAGCGUUAUCCGGAUUUAUUGGGUUUAAAGGGAGCGUAGAUGGAUGUUUAAGUCAGUUGUGAAAGUUUGCGGCUCAACCGUAAAAUUGCAGUUGAUACUGGAUGUCUUGAGUGCAGUUGAGGCAGGCGGAAUUCGUGGUGUAGCGGUGAAAUGCUUAGAUAUCACGAAGAACUCCGAUUGCGAAGGCAGCCUGCUAAGCUGCAACUGACAUUGAGGCUCGAAAGUGUGGGUAUCAAACAGGAUUAGAUACCCUGGUAGUCCACACGGU